UUGUGGUGGAGGUAGAUACAGUUGGUACUUUAACCUGAACAAUUUUUUUUUAGGUUUAAGUCUGGGAAGGGUGGAACAAAACCUCAGGUGAAAGAACUUGGUAAAGUGAUAAGUCAGUGCAGGUGUGGCUGUUUGGUAAGAAGUUUGCUUCUCAAACACAUGAUUCUGGGUUCAGUCCCACUGAAGCCUUGAGAGUGGAUUUGGUAGACAGAAACUGAAAGUAGCCUUGUGUGUGUGUGUGUGUGUGUGUGUGCGUGUCUUAACAUUAUCUGAUAGUUAUCAAUGUGUGUUACUGCCAUACAAGCAGUGUCGAUCAUUUCCAUUAAUUCUGCGGAAACUCAUCUGGCCAUGUGGAAAUAUUUCCUUGCUUGGAAACAGGUAUGGGUUGGUGACAGGAAGGGCAUCCAACUGUAGAAAAUCUGCUUCAAUAAACUCCAUCUUGCCCACACAAGUAUGACAAAGAGGACGUUAAAAUGAUGAUGAUGAUGAUGAUGAUGAUGAUCUGAUGGACCCUUUUGAAUGAGAUUAGCUUAUCAUGUUCCUAUUUUGGAAAAUAUUUUCAAGGUCUCUGUUCAACCGCAGUACAUGCUUGGAGCGAUGGUGUCUACCUAUCUCAGUAGCUUAUCGAUGAUAGGCUGUGUGGGAGAGGUUACACAGUAGUGAAGAGUGAUAUCAUAAGUAGAGGAAAGAGUAAAAUUAGAAGCGACAGUAAGAAAUUCAUUUAUAAAUAGAAGGAAGAGUGUAGGUGUCGUAAACUAACCAAACCUUAAAUUGCACCAAGUGUUAAGAAAAUGUGGGUUGAAGGGAGCUCCGUUGAUACAGACGUAUGUGUUGUGAUGCUGGUCUCCCAAGACAUUGCUGAUUCCAAGCUGAGAGAUAGUCAUGGACUGCAGCCAUGCUAGGUACCAUCUGGAAGGGUUUAGUCAAACAAAUUAAUCCCAGGACUCCUUGGUAAAACCAUGACAAUGUGGCUAGUAGAGCAUUGUGCGUUUGCUUUUGACAGUUGUGAAGAAUAACGAGUCUGUCGCAGCAGUUCAGCGUGAGUUUCAGCGCCACUUCAACAUUCACCAAAAUCAGGCUGUUCCCACCCAUAAACAGUCUUAUGUUGGGUGAAUGCACUUCGUACACAAGGUACACUAAUGAAUAGGAGACUGCACCAUAAUGCUAAUACGAAUACAUUGAUGUCAAUAAAAUUUGUUUGCAA
Octopus bimaculoides (California two-spot octopus) is the source of this 1204-nucleotide long non-coding RNA. The record is from RefSeq and is a predicted model, not a curated record. NCBI's taxonomy places the organism in Eukaryota, Metazoa, Mollusca, Cephalopoda, Octopoda, Octopodidae.